RNAcentral lists this ribosomal RNA (102 nucleotides) under Pelomedusa galeata. Its description in RNAcentral is "partial 12S ribosomal RNA". Lineage: Eukaryota; Metazoa; Chordata; Testudines; Pelomedusidae. The record is from RNAcentral.
UAUAAGCGAUACUCCACGAUCAACCUUACCACCCUUUGCCAUCAGCCUAUAUACCGCCGUCGCCAGCUUACCUUGUGAAAGCCAAAAAGUAAGCGAAAUAGC